CAGCCGCCGCGGUAAUACGGAGGGUGCAAGCGUUAAUCGGAAUUACUGGGCGUAAAGCGCACGCAGGCGGUCUGACAAGUCAGAUGUGAAAUCCCCGGGCUUAACCUGGGAACUGCAUUUGAAACUGUCAGGCUGGAGUCUUGUAGAGGGGGGUAGAAUUCCAGGUGUAGCGGUGAAAUGCGUAGAGAUCUGGAGGAAUACCGGUGGCGAAGGCGGCCCCCUGGACAAAGACUGACGCUCAGGUGCGAAAGCGUGGGGAGCAAACAGGAUUAGAGACCCCAGUAGUCCCUGUCUCUUAUAA
This 301-nucleotide ribosomal RNA is filed under the name uncultured bacterium. RNAcentral describes it as "partial 16S ribosomal RNA". It matches the Rfam family "Bacterial small subunit ribosomal RNA", at positions 509 to 809 of the family's 1533-position model. The record is from RNAcentral.